CAGCAGCCGCGGUAAUACGUAGGGUGCGAGCGUUAAUCGGAAUUACUGGGCGUAAAGCGUGCGCAGGCGGUUCGUUAAGACAGAUGUGAAAUCCCCGGGCUUAACCUGGGAACUGCAUUUGUGACUGGCGAGCUAGAGUAUGGCAGAGGGGGGUAGAAUUCCACGUGUAGCAGUGAAAUGCGUAGAGAUGUGGAGGAAUACCGAUGGCGAAGGCAGCCCCCUGGGCCAAUACUGACGCUCAUGCACGAAAGCGUGGGGAGCAAACAGGAUUAGAGACCCCUGUAGUCCCUGUCUCUUAUAC
This 301-nucleotide ribosomal RNA is filed under the name uncultured bacterium. Its description in RNAcentral is "partial 16S ribosomal RNA". It matches the Rfam family "Bacterial small subunit ribosomal RNA", at positions 509 to 807 of the family's 1533-position model. The record is from RNAcentral.